RNAcentral lists this ribosomal RNA (250 nucleotides) under uncultured Lactobacillus sp. RNAcentral describes it as "partial 16S ribosomal RNA". It matches the Rfam family "Bacterial small subunit ribosomal RNA", at positions 113 to 355 of the family's 1533-position model. Lineage: Bacteria; Bacillati; Bacillota; Bacilli; Lactobacillales; Lactobacillaceae. The record is from RNAcentral.
CAACGUGGGGAACCUGCCCCAUAGUCUGGGAUACCACUUGGAAACAGGUGCUAAUACCGGAUAAGAAAGCGGAUCACAUGAUCAGCUUUUAAAAGGCGGCGUAAGCUGUCGCUAUGGGAUGGCCCCGCGGUGCAUUAGCUAGUUGGUAAGGUAAAGGCUUACCAAGGCGAUGAUGCAUAGCCGAGUUGAGAGACUGAUCGGCCACAUUGGGACUGAGACACGGCCCAAACUCCUACGGGAGGCAGCAGCA